GAGUUACGAUUUGAUGCAAGGUUAAGCAGUAAAUGUGGAGCCGUAGCGAAAGCGAGUCUGAAUAGGGCGUUUAGUAUUUGGUCGUAGACCCGAAACCAGGUGAUCUACCCUUGGUCAGGUUGAAGUUCAGGUAACACUGAAUGGAGGACCGAACCGACUUACGUUGAAAAGUGAGCGGAUGAACUGAGGGUAGCGGAGAAAUUCCAAUCGAACCUGGAGAUAGCUGGUUCUCUCCGAAAUAGCUUUAGGGCUAGCCUCAAGUGAUGAUUAUUGGAGGUAGAGCACUGUUUGGACGAGGGGCCCCUCUCGGGUUACCGAAUUCAGACAAACUCCGAAUGCCAAUUAAUUUAACUUGGGAGUCAGAACAUGGGUGAUAAGGUCCGUGUUCGAAAGGGAAACAGCCCAGACCACCAGCUAAGGUCCCAAAAUAUAUGUUAAGUGGAAAAGGAUGUGGCGUUGCCCAGACAACUAGGAUGUUGGCUUAGAAGCAGCCAUCAUUUAAAGAGUGCGUAAUAGCUCACUAGUCGAGUGACACUGCGCCGA
This 543-nucleotide ribosomal RNA is filed under the name Staphylococcus aureus. RNAcentral describes it as "partial 23S ribosomal RNA". It matches the Rfam family "Bacterial large subunit ribosomal RNA", at positions 625 to 1167 of the family's 2925-position model. The record is from RNAcentral. Lineage: Bacteria; Bacillati; Bacillota; Bacilli; Caryophanales; Staphylococcaceae.